AACAUGCUUCUCGAAUGUCCAAACUUAACAAAAAAAUUACACGGAGUUCGCACACAUGAACAUAUUGCAGCACAAAAAAGUUAGAAUUUUUGGAACCAUUUUUCUAUUUGAAAUCGCGGUAUUGUUCAUGCCCGAGCACAAAAACACUGCUCUCUCUUUAUAUCUCCUUCUUUAUUUCCUUCUUUAUUCUUUCAUUCAAUCUCUCUCUUUCCUUCUUUAUUCUUUCCUCCAAUUUAUUUCCUUUUUCCUUCCUUAUUCUUGUAUUCAAUCCCUCUUUCCUUCCUUGCUAGGGGUGGCUUAUUUCCUUCCUUGAUGAUUUUCGGGAUGGCUCCUUGUUACCUAAAAAGAUCAAAGACGUAUAUGAAUUAGUAAGGUCGGAUGUAAGGAAACGUGGUGUGACUAUUGUAUAGCUGAAUCAACCUUGGCCUGUUUGGAUACUCUAACUCGAUUAAAGGUUAGAGUUAGAUUUUAACCCUGCACUAAUCCUGAGUUAACGUUAAUUAAAGAGGUGUUUGGAUGGCAGGGUUAGAUAAAUAAUAAACAUUUUUUUUCAAUCAUUUAGCUACUUUUGAUCCUAUUUUCUACCGGGUUUAGUAUGGCCGGCUCUUGUGUGGCGUGCAGCCCAACGCGCUGCCAAUGCGCCCGUGCACUCCCGCGCGCCCAGAUCGGCAUGCCCCUCUGCACCACUCCGCAUGGACCACACCGUCGCCCAAGCCACACCGAGGUCGCACUCGCAAUCCCGUAGAGCUGAGCGUCCCCGUUCCACCCCGACCUGCGAGAGAGGAGGAAGCGGUCCCGCUGACAUUGGCGCCAUGCGAGCUUUGCUCGGGGAUCUCGGGGACGGGGGUGACGGGGGGACGGCGGUGGGAUGGGGGCUGCUAGUGCUGGCGGGAUGGGGGCGGCUGGGGGCGGAUAAGCGUGGCUUGGGCGGCUGGGGGUGGCGGGAUGAAGGCGGUCGGGCGGAUGGAAAGGCUGGCGAGGUAUGGGGUCGGCAAUCGCCGACGACCGACGGAGUUGGGCCGGCGGAUGAGGGCGAGAGGAGGAAUCGGCCCCGCCGACGCCGGCGCCAUGCGAGCUUUGCUCGGGGAUGGGGGCGGUUGGGGUGGUGGCUGCGGGAGCGGGGUGGAUGGGGAGACGGGAGCGGAAUGGAUGGGGGGGUGCGACGGGAUCUCG
Molecule: long non-coding RNA, 1173 nt
Filed under: Hordeum vulgare
Lineage: Eukaryota; Viridiplantae; Streptophyta; Magnoliopsida; Poales; Poaceae
Description: long non-coding RNA (HVUL_LNC017877)
Source: RNAcentral